UUGUUUACUGUAGUUUCUGUAUUAGUUUACCUUUGUCAGCACCAAUUUCAUGUAAGCUCAGUAGCAAAUGUUGUGAUUUUGUCAUGAUUCGAGUUCUACAUCGUCAUUGUUAUUCAUGUGUACGAUGUUACUUUGUGUAUUAGAAGGAUAUUGUUACUACAGUCAUUUAGUAUGACUUCAUAUUACACUUGUGAAAUGUUGUACUUCUGUAUACUCUCACCCAGCAGAAGAGCCAGCAGAAGAGAAGAUUAAGAGUAUUGUGAGCAGAAGUCUCCUGCACACCAUCUGCACUUGUGUUGAAUGUUUUGGUGGAUCAGAUUGGAAACUGGAUGACAACAAGCAAGCCUGCUACUCACUAGCUUCCAAGUAUGAGGGUGGUGGUGCUGUAGGGACUUCAUAUCCAGGCUGAUAUCCGAAGGGGGAGAGUGGCUGCUGGGCUGAGUUGACUACUGUGGUGGAGUUUCUCACAGCUACAGCCUGCAGGUACCUCUUGUCGAGAGAAGAGGCUGGUUUCUCAGCCAGGAGCUAAGUUUGCAAGAAUUUGCCAAAUUUUAAGGUACGUGGCAAACUGAGCUAAACAGUUAGGCUACAAACAGACAGUUUUCAUAUUAGC
Micropterus dolomieu (smallmouth bass) is the source of this 613-nucleotide long non-coding RNA. RefSeq lists it as uncharacterized. Lineage: Eukaryota; Metazoa; Chordata; Actinopteri; Centrarchiformes; Centrarchidae. The record is from RefSeq and is a predicted model, not a curated record. The transcript is spliced from 3 exons.